Molecule: microRNA precursor, 68 nt
Filed under: Bombyx mori (domestic silkworm)
Lineage: Eukaryota; Metazoa; Arthropoda; Insecta; Lepidoptera; Bombycidae
Description: mir-2774 microRNA precursor family
Rfam family: mir-2774 microRNA precursor family
Source: Rfam by way of RNAcentral
ACAACAUUCGGACCGUCGGUCUACCGAGCAAUAUCCAACCGCUCGGUGGAAGAUCUUCCUUUAAAAAA